UACAUCCACAUCUCUUUAUCUUUAGUCUCCCAACUAUAUUACCUGCUCCUCUUGCCCCCCUGAAAGCCAAACUCCACACCAUAGAGCAGGGUUGGCAAAUGUUUUCUUUAAAGGAUCAGAUAGCAAAUACUUGAGGCUUUGCAGGCCACGUGGUCUCUGUUGCAACUACUCAGGUCUGCUGCUGUAGACCGAAAGCAGCCACAGACUUAAGAUUUAAGAUGGGUAAGAUGCUUAAGCAAAUAGGUGUGGCUGUGUUUCAAUAAAACUUUAUUUACAGUAAUAGGUAUGUUUUGUGCUCAUCUCAGCCUAUCGAUAGUGAUGCUAUUGGCUAGAAAUGCCUGGGGCGAGAGAUCGAUCCAUUUAGGGGACCACUUGCCUGAAAGUAGUUUAAGGAGUCUCUCUUCAAGAAGGCCAUGAUCGUGCUCAAUGGGGCCAGCCACCUGGGGGCCGUAAGCCAGAUGGAAGUUCCAGAAAAUAUUCUGUUGGGGAGCCCACUGUUUCUUCUGAAAAAACAUAAUUGGACCCUGGGGAGUGUUUAGCUCAAAUACACUGAGUGAUACAGGAUGCCACAGGAGUGAGGGACAAGUUCCUUGACACGGCAAGGACAAAGCAGAGAAAAUGAAGAAUUGAUGGAGAUGGAAAGACAAGCAGGAGAGGCUUUGAAACCAAUGGAUAAGUAGAUAAAUGGAAAACAAUGAGAAAGGCAACCCAGAAGUUGUACCACCUGCUAGCCCUGCCCAAAUUGGGAUGUCAGUUGAAUCUGGCCAGUUCUCCAAAGACUUUUUAAACCUGUGCUCUCGUCCAGGCACAUUUCAUUGUCACAGAGCUCCAUCGCGUUAGGCCACGACAAGCUGGUCUUCCGUCCUCCUACUUCACUGCUUCCUUGCCACAUCAUUUCAUUUCAUGGGAAUUUAAAGAAAUAAUGAUGUCUAUUUUAUUUUAAAAAUAGGUUGGUUCUGGGGCCGGCCCCGUGGCCGAGUGCUUAAGUUUACGCGCUCCACUGCGGCAGCCCAGGGUUCAGAUCCUGGGCGUGGACAUGGCACUGCUCGUCAGGUCACGUUGAGGUGGCGUC
Molecule: long non-coding RNA, 1072 nt
Filed under: Equus asinus (donkey)
Lineage: Eukaryota; Metazoa; Chordata; Mammalia; Perissodactyla; Equidae
Description: lncRNA (ENSEASG00005026905.1)
Source: RNAcentral